RNAcentral lists this ribosomal RNA (235 nucleotides) under uncultured bacterium. Its description in RNAcentral is "partial 16S ribosomal RNA". It matches the Rfam family "Bacterial small subunit ribosomal RNA", at positions 96 to 334 of the family's 1533-position model. The record is from RNAcentral.
CGGCGGACGGGUGAGUAAUGCCUAGGAAUCUGCCUGGUAGUGGGGGAUAACGUCCGGAAACGGGCGCUAAUACCGCAUACGUCCUGAGGGAGAAAGUGGGGGAUCUUCGGACCUCACGCUAUCAGAUGAGCCUAGGUCGGAUUAGCUAGUUGGUGGGGUAAAGGCCUACCAAGGCGACGAUCCGUAACUGGUCUGAGAGGAUGAUCAGUCGCACUGGAACUGAGACACGGUCCAG